Molecule: ribosomal RNA, 439 nt
Filed under: uncultured bacterium
Lineage: Bacteria
Description: partial 16S ribosomal RNA
Rfam family: Bacterial small subunit ribosomal RNA
Source: RNAcentral
CUACGGGCGGCAGCAGUGAGGAAUAUUGCACAAUGGGGGGAACCCUGAUGCAGCAACGCCGCGUGGAGGAUGACGCAUUUCGGUGUGUAAACUCCUUUUAUAUGUCAAGAAAAUGACGGUAGCAUAUGAAUAAGCACCGGCUAACUCCGUGCCAGCAGCCGCGGUAAUACGGAGGGUGCAAGCGUUACUCGGAAUCACUGGGCGUAAAGGACGCGUAGGCGGGUUGGAAAGUCAGGUGUGAAAUCCUACAGCUUAACUGUAGAACUGCACUGGAAACUUCUAAUCUAGAGUAUGGGAGGGGGAGAUGGAAUUAGUGGUGUAGGGGUAAAAGCCGUAGAUAUCACUAGGAAAACCUAAAGCGAAGGCGAUCUCCUGGAACAUUACUGACGCUAAGGCGUGAAAGCGUGGGGAGCAAACAGGAUUAGAUACCCGAGUAGUC